RNAcentral lists this ribosomal RNA (465 nucleotides) under Vreelandella stevensii. RNAcentral's name for it is "partial 16S ribosomal RNA". It matches the Rfam family "Bacterial small subunit ribosomal RNA", at positions 338 to 795 of the family's 1533-position model. Lineage: Bacteria; Pseudomonadati; Pseudomonadota; Gammaproteobacteria; Oceanospirillales; Halomonadaceae. The record is from RNAcentral.
CCUACGGGGGGCAGCAGUGGGGAAUAUCGGACAAUGGGGGCAACCCUGAUCCAGCCAUGCCGCGUGUGUGAAGAAGGCCCUCGGGUUGUAAAGCACUUUCAGUGAGGAAGAACGCCUGGUGGUUAAUACCCAUCAGGAAAGACAUCACUCACAGAAGAAGCACCGGCUAACUCCGUGCCAGCAGCCGCGGUAAUACGGAGGGUGCGAGCGUUAAUCGGAAUUACUGGGCGUAAAGCGCGCGUAGGUGGCUUGAUAAGCCGGUUGUGAAAGCCCCGGGCUCAACCUGGGAACGGCAUCCGGAACUGUCAAGCUAGAGUGCAGGAGAGGAAGGUAGAAUUCCCGGUGUAGCGGUGAAAUGCGUAGAGAUCGGGAGGAAUACCAGUGGCGAAGGCGGCCUUCUGGACUGACACUGACACUGAGGUGCGAAAGCGUGGGUAGCAAACAGGAUUAGAUACCCCGGUAGUC